RNAcentral lists this ribosomal RNA (253 nucleotides) under uncultured Blautia sp. RNAcentral describes it as "partial 16S ribosomal RNA". It matches the Rfam family "Bacterial small subunit ribosomal RNA", at positions 524 to 776 of the family's 1533-position model. Lineage: Bacteria; Bacillati; Bacillota; Clostridia; Lachnospirales; Lachnospiraceae. The record is from RNAcentral.
UACGUAGGGGGCAAGCGUUAUCCGGAUUUACUGGGUGUAAAGGGAGCGUAGACGGCGGUGCAAGCCAGAUGUGAAAGCCCGGGGCUCAACCCCGGGACUGCAUUUGGAACUGUGCUGCUAGAGUGUCGGAGAGGCAGGCGGAAUUCCUAGUGUAGCGGUGAAAUGCGUAGAUAUUAGGAAGAACACCAGUGGCGAAGGCGGAUGACUGGACGACAACUGACGGUGAGGCGCGAAAGCGUGGGGAGCAAACAGG